AGAGUUUGAUCCUGGCUCAGAAUGAACGUUGGCGGCGUGCCUAACACAUGCAAGUCGAGCGUGAAAGUCCUUCGGGAUGGGUAAAGCGGCGGACGGGUGAGUAACGCGUGAGAAUCUACCUUUCAGUGAAGAAUACCUUUGAGAAAUUGAAGUUAAUGCUGCAUACGUCUCGAAAGAGAGAAAGAUGGCCUCUUUGCUAUCGCUGAAAGAUGAGCUUGCGUUCUAUUAGCUAGUUGGUGAGGUAAAGGCUCACCAAGGCGAUGAUGGAUAGCCGGCCUGAGAGGGCGACCGGCCACAUUGGAACUUAGACACGGUCCAAACUCCUACGGGAGGCAGCAGUGAGGAAUAUUGCACAAUGGGCGCAAGCCUGAUGCAGCGACGCCGCGUGGAGGAUGACGGUCUUCGGAUUGUAAACUCCUGUUAAGUGGGAAAAAAGAACUUCUGUUAAUAGCAGGGGGAGAUGAUGGUACCACUAGAGAAG
This 481-nucleotide ribosomal RNA is filed under the name uncultured bacterium. RNAcentral describes it as "bacterial SSU rRNA". It matches the Rfam family "Bacterial small subunit ribosomal RNA", at positions 8 to 489 of the family's 1533-position model. The record is from RNAcentral.